This 7424-nucleotide long non-coding RNA is filed under the name Xyrichtys novacula (pearly razorfish). The record is from RNAcentral. Lineage: Eukaryota; Metazoa; Chordata; Actinopteri; Labriformes; Labridae.
UUGGUGCAAAAUGCUGCUUGACUUGCCAAGUUGUGAAGAAAGCGCCGUCACUGAAUCUUGAUCUGGGCAGUUUGGUUUUAAGAUUUUUAUUUAAUUAACUUCUCAAUCUCUACACAAUCAGCUCCCCUAUGAACCUGGGUGCUCUCGCAGAAACUGAUAUGGGUUUGCUGGUUGAACUCAGGGCCAGUUUUAAGACCAGGGGCUGUUAGACUAUGAAACAACAGAGUGGCCUGUCAGCUGAAGUCUAGUGUUGUACUUUUUCAUGAAUUAAAUAGAUGAGAACUUUAUUAAGCGGCAGUACUAUGCUUAUCUUUAUAUCUUUAUAAUGUCUCUCUGAGAGCUACGGAGGACGAGAAUGGCCAUGGAUUUUUUUAUUUAUUUUUUUUAUGCACUGUUAUCUCAUGAUAACGACUGAUCUCAUUAUCUCAAUAUAACAAAGUUUGUUUUCCAAUGAUAAAAUUAUUUUUUUUCUAGCAACAGCACUAGCCACCAAGCAUCUUUUUAACUUUGCCUUAUUUCUUUAGCAAAGAGACUAAACACAACUCAGCUACUCUCUUCCAGCAGCGGCUUUAUUGUAGCGAGACCUCGGGCUAGUCCAUUACAGACUACUUCGGGGUGAUGCAGCUCAAGGAAGAAAAUUGAUGAUCAUAUGGAAAUGCAAUCAGACCGAGACGCUAAGGCAGAAAAAACUAUCGUGUCUGCAGUGCAAAAUGAUUUUUAAUUUGAUUUAUUAAAAAUGAUUAUUAAUUCAAAGAAAUGAUAAAGAAGGCUAGUGCUGUGGCUGGGACCCUAUAUGUACUGUUGAUGAAGUUAGGUGCUGUUCUGAACAUUAUUUGUGGCUAUAGAGUGGUGUUUUGGUUGAGGUUUGUUUAUGGCUCCUCAGACCGCUGUGUAUUGCUGUCGUGUGGUCGUUACUAAAGUUCAUAUAACUAGAGAAGCAAGCGGUCAACAACAUUCAUCUCUUGAGGGGGUGUCUAACUCUGUGUUACAGUGUGUUUGAUCCUAGCUUAAUUUUACGCCGCAAUAUCCCCUCAACCUUGCAAUCUAAAACUUUGCUCAUGUGUACUACUGACCUUCAACAUUUUAUCUUAGAAAUUUGUUCUCAAAUUGUGAAAAAAAAUGCCUCUUUAAAAUUGUGCAAACUUUUGAUUACUUGGUUUGUAAUUAUUUUGAGUUAUUUGUAAAGCAGGUUGUUACUUUGUAGAUAAAGAGUAUUAUGAGAUGUAAUUGAUGUGUUUUUGGUAUGAAAUUCUAGGCUGUCAUCUUCACGCAUACCCUUAAAAUACAUUAUAAGUGUUGCUAAACAUCAGAGAUAGGCGUUAAACAUGAGCGUCUUUUCAGCAAAACCACUCUGUCCCUGCAGGGUCACACAGAGAGAUCAUCUCUGGAUGAGAAGUGACUCACACGCAGCAGAAAUAAAGGAGCAGCGUUGGUAAUCAGAGAGCCCUUUAAAGAGACUGAGUGUAAAGUGUCCUCUUCACCGUCUUCAGGAGAGCUCCUCCUUUCCUGAACCUGGAAACGAUUUCUCAGCUGCGCCGACCUUAAUCGAGAUUGAACGCCUGGCUCACUCCCCUCCUCUUCAGCCUUUCAAGUUUCACUCAGCCGGCCCCUCAUCAUCAUCCUCAUCAUCAUCACUCUCUAAGACCCUGAUGAGCCAUCAAAAGCUACCCCCCACCCCACCCCUCCCUCCACACUCUCUUGUACAUACUGAGUCCAGCACAUACAGAUAUUCAAUGCACUGCACGCAAACAUGCAAUCAGCUCAGUACACUCUUUCACAUUCGCUUCACGCACACACUCACAGGUCACAGCAGCUCCCAAGUGCCACAUCAUCACAGCUCCUUCUCUCUUCUUCUCUCUUUCUCUUUCUCUCAUACACGGAGCAGAUAAAAGUCCUAAGGCCACACCACUAAUUAACUACAGUGAGCUUUAAAGGGCCGCAGCCAUGAGGGCUAAAGAUCUCCUCUGUAUCCCACAUCCCUCUGACAGGAGGACCCCGCCGUGCAGCCAGCACACACACGAUUUUUAAUCACACACACACGCAGAAACUCCUCAUCGGUAAUAUGCAGAAGUUAUGAGAACUAAACAAAUCUUGAAAGCUGUGUCAGAUUUGUUGAUGAUGAAUUGAAUAUAAAACUAAAUUUAGUCAGAAAAAGAGUCAGAAAAGUAAACUCCUUUGCUUUCUGUUCAGAUUAAAGAUUAAUCAAGACAUUAAAGCUCCAGUGAGUAGAUUUUUAUGAAAAAAAAGACGAUCAACAUUAUGAUGAUGAUUUUUAUUUGGCCAUUUUUAAGGUCAUGCAGAGACAGGCACCUAUGGGGAAUUUAGAGUGAUCAAUUCACCUGAUGAGCGUGAUUUUUGGACUGUGGGAGGGAGCAGGACUACCAACAGAGAACCCACACAUGCGUGAGGAGAACAUGCAAACUCUGCACAUGCACAGAAAGGCCUCAGGGAUUCGAACCAGGACCCUUCCUUUAUGAGACCACAACACUAACCACUGCAUGACCACAUGCAUGAGCACCAAAUCAAAGUCUUUAAACACAAAUAGCAUCCUUUAGCACACUUUAAAUCACUGGCCUUCAUAAUGCAUCGCAUUUAGUCUCACUCAUGAUACGCCUGCACAUACCUGAGUUUUAAUGCAAAAGUUGUUGUUUUUUCCACAAUGUUCACACAAUGCAAACACUUCUGAGAACUUUAAGUAUUUGUAUGCAUGUCCACUUGCUGCCUCUGGUAUGUUUUGCGCUGAUUUUAAUGCAAGUGAGAUAAACAUCAAAGAUGCUAUGCUACAAGCAGCAACUACAGAUUACAUAGGCUGGAGCCUUACUUGCGUUCCUUGGCUCGCCUGUUUUGUUGGGAACCCUUCUGCAUCAUCAGCAGGUAUCUCAGAGUCACAAGUGUUUCGCCCCUGAACCUGUACACCUCACCUGAGUGGGGCUGCGGAGGCUGGCUAGCCUUCGCAUGCAAAAGGGUUCCAACUUUGGGCCCUUUUCAGCCACAACCAUCUUGAGCUAGACUCUGCCAUCGUGGCUAUUCCCCUGGUGGUUUUCUUCAGCUGUUUAGGCUCCAAUCCGACUCUCUGGAGGAAGUAGUGCACCGAUUUUGUUGGGAACUCGCAGCAGCCAACCUCGAUUGGAAAAAUGGUUGCGUGCCACCCUUUUUGAGCUGCUUCAUCAAUCAGGUCUUGGUGCUUGGCUUUUUUAAGAUGAUGUGACGUGGCUAGCCUCUCCUCCAAGGGCACAGAACAUUCUGCCGCUAUGAUAGUUUUAGUGCAAAUGAGAUGUGGAAAAGCGGACAUUAAAAGGUGGGGUAGGCAGGAUCUGAGGAGGUGCCAGUUUUUGGGAGAAAUCUUGAAUGUAAACACUACCCCUCCCAACCUGUUUUCCCCUCAGCUCCUCCUCUCCCCUCCCUCUCUGCUCCAGCAAGCCCCGCCCACAAACAGACGACAGGACCCGAGCUAAACAAUUUAGCGCCGCUAUGAAACACAGAAGAUCCUGUUUGACAAGAAACACUUGUGUUUCAGACACUUGGCUUACCUUUUCCAGAAGAAAAGUUACAGGAUCCGUAAGAUCCCGAAGCGUCCCCCAUCAUUGUUGACCCGGCUUUUUAGCUCUUGUCCGGGUGGUCUACCUCCUUUUUAAGCGCCCGUUAUUCUGCAUGAGUCUUCGGUAUUUACUUUGUUUUCUUGCUUGUGUUGACGGUCGUGGCUAAAGCAGCAUUCAGACAAUUUUCCAUACCCUCUGGUUGGUUUCUACUGUCCGAUAUUGUAGCACGCUAACUUUGUUUGGGCUUGUGAACGACAUGAGGGAGCAGCAUCUGCCUCAUAACCAAUCAGGUUGGGGAAGGUGGAGAACGGCUUUCUUUACAGUCAGAAAGAGUGGGCCGCUCAAAAACUUUAAAAUGUUGACUACACAGACAAAACAAAACACAGUGAUAUCAUUAUAUUACCAAAUGUCAUCAACAACUAAUAGCUAUUGACUGAUAUUAAAAGCUUUUUUGUAUUUACCACAAAAAAAGAUGCUUCUUUAACAGAAUCCUGCCUACCCCACCUUUAGGGAACACAUGUUGAGUGAUUCUUGAGUUUAACUUUGGACAAACCUGCUCUUGUUUUGUGAUCCAUGGCUUGAAGUUGCACAAAGCUAAACCUGAACAAACAUGAAUGUAUGUAUUUGUUCUACCAUACUGCUCCGUGUUUCAGGGAGAGCAAAUGUUCCUCGCUGCUCCUUCACUGCCUUUUCUUUCUACAGCGAGGUUGUGUGAUGUGAGAGGAGCAGUCAGGUUCAGGUGGAUCCUGCUGCGACUGCAGAACCUUUGACAGUGGAGGAUGUGAAGGCUGACAUUUGCACGGGCUGGGGGAGAAAGAGGGGGGAUCAGCGGGUAAAGUGGGUGUCAAGCAGGGCGGAGGCUGCUGAGAGAAUAGCAGGAGUGUUUUGUUCUACACCUGUUUGUUUGAAAAACAAGAGACGGGGCGAGGAGGGUGGAAAACGAAGCACAAAAACCACAGUCACAUGCACCGUGACUGUGAACACCCAGACUAAACAGAGUCCUCUGAUCCACACUAUUAAUACAGUUUCCUGUCAGUCUGGAUGCACAGGUGAAGAUUUGUGCUGUGGCUGUAAAUCAGGUGGGGUUGGGAUCUGUAAACAACUUAAUAAAACUGAAAUGUUCUUUCAUUGUUUUCUCAUAUUGUGUCUUUUUUAACCUUUUACAUAAUUAGUUUUAUUUGUAAAAAUUUUCUGUAUUUUAAAUUGUGUUUUUUUAAUUUUAUUUUCUUCUUUUUCUUUGUAAAGCGUCUUUGAGCACCUGUAAAAACACACUAAUAAUAAAAUGUAUUAUUAUUAUUAUUAUUAUUAUUAUUAUUAUUAAAACCUGCUUUGAUACAUUCAAAAUGAAGCUGAGCUGCACUGGAUAACUGUUUCUCCAAGCUUGUAUCCUUCUUUAAGCUAGGAUGCAUAUUGUUUAUUUCCACAGUUUUAUCUUAAUCUAUUCCAAUUUUUGGGUGUUGCUUUUCAUUUUAUUUCUUCCUGUUUUAUUACACACUGUGACAUACAGACUAUCCAUGUACACUAUAAAACAGACCAAAUGGAUGUAAACAGUUACAUGAGACUCCUGCGUUUGCUUAUUAAACUUGUCAAUUAAUUUAACAUUUUAAGUUCUAUUUAUAAUUUUUUUAUUUUGAUGCUAAGUCUGAGCAGACACACACACUCCGUUUAGAACUCAGGUCUGUGCUGUGAGCACAUGUGAUGGCAAGUGAAGCUGUAUCAGUUAUAAAAAUAACUCUUAAAAUGGUGCAACAUCCAGUUUGUUUGACACAAAACUUAUUGUAGUUUGUUAGAGAUGAAUCAUCAAGUCAAAGAAACAACAAGUGAGUGACAGUUUUAAUGACUCAAGUGUUUAAAGCUCCUGUGGGGAACUUUAGCGCCCCCCCUGAGUACAAAACAGUCUUUGCUUAUCUCAUCCUGUUCAUGCUUUGGUAGUGUCUCAUUAUUCUGGCUUCUGACAGAUAAAUUUAUACCUUAGAAGACAAAAGUAAAAGAGUGCUACCUGGACUCAAAAAAGGAGUUUGUCUGAGGUGCUCUUUAGAAUGGGAUUCACAAAGUCAUUGAAGCAAAAAGAGAAAAAACUUCAAGGCGCUCUCUUAAUACUAUUAAAAUGCCUUUAUUAUGAAACAGCAUGGUCAUGUGGACCUUAAAAGCAAACUUCAAUGCGUCUGACGAAGGCUUGAUGCUGUUUGACUGACACCUACACCCUCCAUCUAGUUUCAGGCAUUAAAAAUUACAUUAUAAAAAUCGUCAAUAUUGUCGCUGAUGGUCUUGUUUGGGUUUGCACAUCAUGGACAGGCAUCAUUAUGAAUUUCAGUCUAAUCUAUCAAAAUAACAAAAAACUCCCUAUAGGAGCUUUAAUUUUCAUCAAGUUGAAAAUAUAAUAUUUCUCCCCGUGCUUUAAAUAAAAAAAAAUUAACCUUGACAUGCAAACCUUGGUGGGAACCUCGUGGCUUUUGAGAGAGGGGGCUGCACUCAGAGUGAACCAGUUAUUAUGUAAUUGAGGUCUUUUAACAUAACCUUGGGACAGCUAAACCGUAUGCAGGAGAGUUACAUAAUGCGCCCAUGUUGGCCUGGUUAAGAUGCUUUUUGGUUUUAAUGGGCAGGAGAGAGAGAAAGAUGCUGCUUUUAAUAUUGAACUAAUGUGCCCUCUGUAGUUCAGGUGAGUCCAGAGCUGCUGAGGUUUGUGAAUAAAAAAGAGCGUUAACCCUGCAUUUUACCGGAGGAUCCAUGUUGAUUGUUGACUCAAUCGCCAAUGUCAUUUCUGUUCUAAAUCAAUGGAUCUGCUUCAGCAUUCAAGGUGUCAGACUGUUUGACAUUGUGGUUCAGACCCAAUGGGAACAACCAAAGUCACAGAAGAACUGAGAAAAAUACAUCCUUUCCUUUAGAGCAGAAAACACAAUAUUUUGUUGAGAAAACCUGUUGUUCUGCUCCACUAUUGGACGUUGCCUGAUAUUUAAUUGGUUGCAUGGACAAGUUCAACAGUUCACCGUUUCUGUGUCAGCGAUCUAAUAUUGGACGGGUGUUGAAACACUGAAUGAAGAGCACAACAUGAAAGUAGGUUCAUCACAAUGGAAGCAUCGAUGAAUUGAGCGGCUCUGUCCAAACGGCCCUGAGCUCUCAGGGUAAUUGGAGGGGAGCUCCAGCGCAGACUCCUGAUGUGGGAAACGGACAAGAGACAAGAUCAGGCCGAUUGUUCCAGGAAUCACUUACAUUAAUAAGUACAGACUGUACUGUACAGCACUGGGAAUGGGAAUUAUUGCAUUUGGAGGACUCGACAUCCCACUUCCACGCCAUACUCUGUGGUUUUAAAUGUGGUGGACUCUUCCACCAGAGCAUACAGACAGAGUAGGAGCGUGUGGGGAAAUGAUGUAAGGAGAGAAAAGCCCAGGACCAGAGUAAUUAUUCCCUCUUUUAUAAUCUGAAAAAACUAUUCCACUUUCAGGGCCAAAAAUAAAAGUUCAAACAAGGCUCACAUUUAGCAGCUGGUGCACCAAUUUACUUGUUUGUGUUGCUGUAGAGAAAAAGAUUUAAUUGCAUUCAAGGAAUAAUUAGUUUGGGUCUCAAUUUUAACUUGGUAAACACUGAUGCAAACCAAUCAUGCAGCUAUAAUCUGCAUCAAAAUUAAAGACUUGAAGAUCAACUCUUUCCUUCGUAACUGAGAUGGCAUUUUAUUUACAAGUUACACGAACUUAACAGAUGUUUCUCUCACUUCCUGCUGAAGUUGUGUUUAUUAUCUGCAGUUAUGACCAGGCUGUGAUUAAUACAUGAAACCCUACAAGAACAAUGAUCUAUUCUCAACACCAAAACUGAAGCCAGAGCUACCUGAUAACAUAUGACAUCAAAUCAACCAAGGUUUCAUGUUCCACUUUGGCAAAUAUUCAUUUC